RNAcentral lists this transfer RNA (72 nucleotides) under Planctomycetota bacterium. Its description in RNAcentral is "tRNA-Thr". It matches the Rfam family "tRNA". Rfam says of the family: Transfer RNA (tRNA) molecules are approximately 80 nucleotides in length. RNAcentral also lists the same sequence under 1 other name. Lineage: Bacteria; Pseudomonadati; Planctomycetota. The record is from RNAcentral.
GCCGCUGUAGCUCAGUGGUAGAGCGCACCCUUGGUAAGGGUGAGGUCGUGGGUUCAAGUCCCACCAGCGGCU